This is a long non-coding RNA of Mirounga angustirostris (Northern elephant seal), 3002 nucleotides long. RefSeq lists it as uncharacterized. NCBI's taxonomy places the organism in Eukaryota, Metazoa, Chordata, Mammalia, Carnivora, Phocidae. The record is from RefSeq and is a predicted model, not a curated record. The transcript is spliced from 4 exons.
UGUACAUCAUUAAGAGCUCUAGAAGAAGACCCUAAGAUGAGAAAUGCCAGGUGCCCUGAGUCUCCCCUCCUGCCCAUGUCCUCCUCCUCCAUCUGCCCACCAAGUCCCCCACGGUGGACAAAACACACCACUCUUCUUCUUUAUCCCCAUCUACUGCACUGAUCAAAGUUUCUGACAAACUUGAAGGCCAAUUUGAACUGCCGUAAAUUUUUGUUCCCUAAAACUCCUUGUGGCUUUCUACCCAACCUCUCUCUAGCACUUGUUAAACUGAAAAUAAAAAUAAAAUUCCCCUUCCUCUUUAAGUUUGUAUCAACACCCUUGACCUCAUUUUCUCCCUCCAGCUUAAGGGUCCUACUCCACAAAUUUCCCCUCCUUUUUCCAACCAUCAACUCUUUCUUCUCCAUGGACGUUUCUCUCAUCUUACAAACUUGCCCAUUGUGCCUUGUCCUAAAAGCAGACGAAAACCGAUCGAGGACAAUACCAUGCUCCUUCCAAUCUCACUUCUUGAGGCGGUCAGCUUUUCCCCACAACUCAACGUUUUUCCUCAACUUCUCCCCUAAUGAAUUUGGUGAAGGUGGAAUGUACUCUUACUGCAUGACUUUACCAUUUGUGAGGUCAUGCCCUCGUCCAGUCUCUGGAAUCUAGGUUUAUGCACUCAGCAUCUUAACAGACCCGUUCUCUCAAGGAUUAUUCCUUACCUCCUGGGAGCCCGGUAUCUUUGGCCUCUUUCUGGCCUUCAUCCUAUUUGAUCUCUCCACAAUUAAUAUUCGGCACUGCUGGUGAUCCCUCUUUCUAGAGAUUUCCUACUGUUCAUUCUCUGAUGCUCAGUUUUCCUAGUUUUUUCCCCUGAUGUUCAUGUCUUUUUUCUCAGCUUCCUCUUUUUCCUCUUGCUCCUUAAAUGUACGUAUUUCCAGAGAUCUGUGCUUAGCUUAGGUUAUUUUAUAUAAACUCAUUCAAUCUGUGGUUUCAAAGUUGGAUUUUUAUGCUAUCCUUAUCUCCUUCCUCCAAUUCCUCCACCCACUCUGGGUCCCAUCAUUCCACUGAAUGACCCUAAGUUGAGAAAUCCAAUGGGCUCUUCCAGUCCUCGUUUUACUUGACUCCUCCACAGAUUGAGAAAUGUCUCAGUUGGCCAUUCUGUUCCCUACCUUCUGCUUCCUUGACGUGUCAUUCCCUCAUUUCCUUUAAUCUUUCUGGCAUCUUCCCUGCUCUUGUGCAAACCCUUCCUUUUCUGCCCACUCAGUGUUAGAGUUCUUCAAGCCAGUCUCUCCCCUUCCCAGAGGGCUCACUUCUAGCCACAAUGACAUGGAUAUCUGGAAGCCCCACAGAUGGACCCCUCUAGCCUCUACAACAUGCCUGUGUUGUUCAGUAUUAGUACUCUUCUAGCCACCUCUUAUCCAUUCUCAUUGGAGGUGGGGCAUAAAUAAGGAAUUUGUAUUAUUUACCAAAUUAAUGUGACUGAUUUAACAAGCAUGAGCACUGGUUUUUACGAUGGAACAAGAGCUUCUGAGCAUUUCAUCAUUUAACUGUCCAGUACCCCAACUUGUGUAAUAAUGACCACAACUGUACAAGAACACACUCCUGCUUGAUAAAGUCUAUUUUUUAUGGAAGGACGUUUAUAUCUUUGAAAGGUUCGAUCCACAAAGGUUUAAAAGAUUUUGAAGUUCUAGGUAUUCAUCCCCAAUGACUUCACUUUUGGACCAAGUUGGAUAAAAUGAGGUCUUGCUGAAUAUUAUCACACAAAAAUUGGCACAGACCAUAUAGGAGAUAGGAUGCAUAUUUCAUAACUUUCUUUUGAAAGAUUAUAGAUUAUUCAUAUUUAAAAGCAUAAAUUGGUUCAUACCCUGAUUUGUACCGCCAGCAAUUAAGCAGUAAAAAUAUUUCAGUUGAAAUCUAAACAGACUUGGUAUUUUUCAGAAAAACAUACCAAGAAAAUGAAAUCGAUCCCUGGAGUAUGACCUUAACACACAGCUUGAAUGAUAAAAAUGGUGCUGGACUGAACUCCUGUAAGGAUUAUAGCUACCAGACAGUGUGAAUGAGACUCAGAUUGAUGCAAACGUACACUUAUCUAAUGGUAAAUGAUUUGUGAAAAAGCUUCUUCUCUCAAGCUCGUACCAAACAGGACCAGGAAGUGGGCAGAGGAGGAUAGAGAACUGAACUUUUGGUCCUUGGAUCUAAGCCUUAAUCAUCCCGAACGGACUGUGACAGGUCAUCAUACUUUUCUAAGACAGCAGUAUUCCUAUCUGCAAAACGUCAGUAGGAGCUCAACAUGCGGCUUAAACUCAUGACCCUGAGAUCAAGACCCGAGCUGAGAUCAAGAGUUGGAGCUUAACUGUCCCAGCCACCCAGGCACCCAACUGGCCUGAUCAUCUUAAUUGUGUGAAAACUCGAAGGCCUGCUAAUGUUUCAGAUGUUCCCGUACACAAAGUGCCCCUUAGUGUUAGAGGCCAUCUGAAUGGGGAGAUCGGCUGGAUGUCUACUUUCAUCUAGGGAUUGGUUCCACCUUUGCUUUGUAUUCAGGGAAGCUGGAAGAAAAGGAACCUGAAAGAUCUGGAUCCAAGUAUGAAGGAGAAAUGAACAGGUUUCCACUGGGUAUGACCUGUAUUGUUUUUAUGUAACUGUAUUCCCAGAUCCUAGCCCAUCCCUGGACACAUAGUAGGAAUUCAAUAAUUAUCUGCUGACUUCAGGGACACAAAGCUGUAAUUUACAACAUCAAAAGGACAUCUAAACGGUACCUUUACUUAAAACCUCCAUCUUCCUCUUCUUGACCUGAAUCUUAACCACAUUAAAAAACCUAGUUUGAGGGCGCCUAGGUGGCUCAGUUGGUUAAGCGACUGCCUUUGGCUCAGGUCAUGAUCCUGGAGUCCCUGGAUCGAGUCCCGCAUCGGGCUCCCUGCUCGGCAGGGAAUCUGCUUCUCCCUCUGACCCUCCCCCCUCUCAUGUGCUCUCUCUCAUUCUCUCUCUCUCAAAUAAAUAAAAAAAUCUUAAAAAAAAAACCCACCUAG